Gossypium hirsutum (cotton) is the source of this 106-nucleotide non-coding RNA. NCBI's taxonomy places the organism in Eukaryota, Viridiplantae, Streptophyta, Magnoliopsida, Malvales, Malvaceae. The record is from Rfam.
AACUUGUGGUGCGAGCAUUUAUGAAUCAACAUUUUGAAGCGUUCCCACACCUCAUAGAAACUUUGUCCCUCUAUCUGUCUAAAGACAACAAUCUCUCUUCUUAGCU